UGACAAAUCAGGAAGUUCAAUAAUGAGA
RNAcentral lists this non-coding RNA (28 nucleotides) under Mus musculus (house mouse). The record is from RNAcentral. Lineage: Eukaryota; Metazoa; Chordata; Mammalia; Rodentia; Muridae.